GCUGGGGAGAGGAAAGGAAGAAAAGAGAGAUUGCUGCUUGCAUGCAGAAAGGAAAGGUUCCUGAAUAAACUGCUUUGAGAAGAGCAUCCUGGUGUCGCUCCUUUCUGCGGGACUGAGACAGAGACCACAAGUGGUGGCCUGUACGGGAACUCUUCCUCCGCUCGUUCAGAACUCAUUGCAGCCAGGGCAGCUAGCUGGUAAAUUCCCAGGUACUGUGCUUUUCAGUUUCGUGUUGUUAUGGGAUUCCUGAAUGUGAGAACAAAACCUCCAGAACACCUUGAUGCUCACAAGUAGCUGUGUAAAGCCUGUCAAACCCUCAUGUCAAGUUUGGAUCAAGUGGACAGCUGAAGUGAACUAUGACAGUAUCAUCCUUGAACACAUUACUGAACACCUAUGUUAUGUCAGCUACUAUGACUGACCAGGCAGAACUAAGAGCCAAAAGGCAAAUGGACUUCUUGGCCCCACAAAACUAAGUAGAGGAUUUAGCUAAUGAGAUAAGUAUAAUAUAAUAAAAAUAAAAAUUAAUAUUUGAUAAUACUAAUGAAGAAGAUUGAAUUAUCAGAACUUAAAUGAACCUUAAGCAAAAGGGAGCACUGUAGAAAAAUGCUGGCUGACAGGUAAUGAUGGAAAAGAUUCUGUGGCUAAGAGGGUUUCAUCUGUGCUAGACUCCAGUGUCUUCAGAGACCUAAGUAUAGAUGGGUAUGACUAGAUUAUCACACGAGAAGGAAAGCACCAAAAUAUCCAAAAUCUGAGGUUGGAGGAUGGCCAAUGGCCAUACCAUGUAGGAAUAUUACCAUUUUAUUAAGAAAAUUAUAUCAAGAGUUUAUUGGGUUCUCAAAGAAUUUUGGGAAAGUUAUCAUAUUCAUGUCAUAUUCAACAUUUUUAUAAAUAUUACUAUAUAAAGCAUGUGGGAAAUGACUAAAGGACAUGGAAGUGGAUUUAUCAAGAUAAGAGACUGUUCUUACGGGGUUGGGGAUUUAGCUCAGCGGUAGAGCGCUUGCCUAGUGAGCGCAAGGCCCUGGGUUCGGUCCCCAGCUCCGGAAAAAAAAAAAAAAAAAAAAAGCGACUGUUCUUACAAUCCAAGAAGCAUCAGCAUAUCUAAUAAUGACUACAAACUAUCAAGCUAUUAGAAAUACUGAGGUUAUGAAUGUGAUUUGUUGACUGGGAGGAUAUUGAGAAGUGAGACAGACUAGCAGGAUGAUGUAAGUUUCAACAUAGUGAAUUUUAUGUGUAAAUAGAAAAUUCAAAGAGAGGAAGAGAGCAUGCAUGCCUGAGGAAGAACAGUUGAAAUUGUGCACGUGAUGCCUACUGGAGUCCAGGCUGUGGAUGAUCCAAAUCUUGGAGACACCAGCUUUCGGGCAUCAUUAAUGCUGUGUAGUUGAAACAAAAAUUGUUCACUCCAGUAAUAGAUUACCAGCACAGGACAGAUUCACAAGAAUAGUCAAGUAUCACUGAGAAUACAAUUUGCUUUCUUAACCAUCCAGGCUGUUGGUUAAAGGCAGUUGGUUAAAAUCAGAGAUAUCAUGGGACAAGACAGCAUAAUGCAGAGGCCUAUCUAACUCAGGCUUGUCAAUCAAAUGAAGAACCACCCACAGUACACACUCAACAACUUUUCUAGUUUCUCCUUUGCUUAUGUGACUUCCGGGUCACAGUCCAUCUUUGAAAAGACAAAACAGGAGCUCAAGCAGGAGCCUGAAGCAGAAACAAUACAAAAUGGCAUCUUGCUGACUCCUUCACAACUCAGGCUUAGCUAGAUUUCUCAUGCAGAGUAGGUGCACCUGGAUACACACUGUACUGCCCACAGAAGGCAGGGCCCUCCAAGAUCAAGACAGUCCUCCACAGACAUGCUCACAGGCUACUCUGUUCCGGGAAAUCGCUCAGUCAAGAAGUUCCUCUCUAUGUGGUGUGAAACUGACAACACUUACUAGCCCAGAAAGGAAAUGUUUUCUCUUGAGCUUCUUGUGGUGGUCUGGAUGAAAAUAGACCCCUUAAGCUCAAAUAUGUGAAUGCUUAGUUACAGUGAAGUAGAAUUCUUUGAAAAGAUUAGAAGGAUUAGGACUUGUGAACUUGUUGAACCAGGUGUGGCCUUGUUGGCGAAAGUAGGUCAUUAGGGGUAGACUGAGGUUUCAAGAACUCAUGCUAGUUUCUUUCUUUCUCUUUUCCUGCACAUCAGAAGCAGCUCUCAACUACUUCUCCAGCACCAUGCCUGUCAUGCCUGCUGCCAUGCUCCCCUCAUGAUGAUAAGGGUCCAGAUCUCUGUAAGCAAGCCCCGAUUAAAUGUUUCCUUUUGUGAUAGUUGCUGUGGUCAUUGUGUCUCUUCACAGCAGUAGAACAGUGACUUAGACAUUCUUUGAAAGGAAACAUCCCCAAAUAAUUAUGACCUUAAGUACCCUCACUCAUUUGGCCUGGUGUUAAUUCUUGACAGUGUAUUUCUUAUCUGUUCUAUAGCUUUUCUUUGAAAACAUUUUUUAUUGCUAUUCUUUAUUAAACUUUAGGUUUUUAUUUCUCUCUUGAACAAGAAGCUAAGACCCUGGAAAUAAAUGGCAAAGAUUCCGAGCACUCUUAAUAAUAAUGUUUGUAAACUGUGCCAUUGAUUUAGGAUGUCACGAAACAUAAUUUCUAUUAGUAGUUCAUAAAUGCAGAAUUUCAAAUUAUAUAUCUGGAUUUGGGAUAAAAGCUCAUCACACUGUUAAAGUGUACACUUUUUUCUUUAAGGAGAAAAAUAAAGUCAAAUAAUAAACACUGAGAAGUUCAAAACUUCUUGAAACAGGGUUUCAAUUAUUUUUACUCCCUGCUGCCACUCAGCAUAAGCACCCUAGGAAACUGCAUUCUUCAUUUUACUUAUUUUUCUGUCUUUGGCAUCGUCUGCUGUUUGAAAGCUAAAACGUUGAAGAAAUGUUCUCAAAGUGUAGUCUACAGUCUUCAUACACUAUUCUAUUCCUUACUGAAACACUGCUUCCACCCAUCCCCACCCCCUAAGACACAAAUACCAACCAACCUUUCUCUGCUUCAGUUUCCUGUUCAAUACAUAAUUAAUUGGCACUUGAACUCACCGUGUGAAAGAAAAGAAACUUGAGAAAAGGGGUGUUUUAUUUCAGUACAAACAGAUCUGGUGUUUCAGAGCCUCUCUUGUUAAAGAUAGAGGGUAGUGUGCUGUGCCCACGAAUCAGCCUGUACACAUUGCUCUGGGUAUGGAAUCUGGCUUCAAGGUGCUAUUUGACAGCUUGCAUUUGCUUACUAACCAUUCCACAGCAGGGAGACAUUUGGGUCUGGAAUCAGUGUUGUUUAUGGACAUUGUGAAAGUUGUCUGUUGGCACCAUGCUUAUAAACAUUUAGAACUGUGCAGACUGGUAGCAUGAGCCUCAUUCAGGAAAAUUUCCUCCGGAGCAGAAUUCUCUCAUUCCCUUGCAAUGAAACUAUUUUAACUUCUCAUUUUCUUCUGUGACUGAAUAUAGAGAAACUCGACAGUGAGCCAAAAGCACACAGUAUCUUCUUGUUUAUAUAUAGAGAGCUGAUCUUCAUUCUUUUCAUGGAGUGAAUGUUUUUCUUCCUCAAAAAUAUCAAAGAAAUUGCAUAACUUUCUUAGCAUUCGUUCUUUUAUGAAUAACACUUCAUUUAUUCACAAAAAUUAAGAGACUAUGCAAGUUAGAAUUCUGACCAUAUCUCAUCCUUUUAAAGGAGAGAUGGGGAGAGAAGGGGAGAGAGAUAGAAAGGAAGUUUCUGAAAACAUGUUUGGGUCUUUUCCCUGCAUGUAUGCUUCUGUAUCACAUGUCUGCCCGGUACCUAAAGAGGCCAGAAGAGCAUGUCAGAUCCUUUGGACCUGGUGUUACAUAUGAGCAGCCACAUAGGUGCUGGGAAUCAAACACGGGUCCUCUGCUAGAGAAGUCAGUGUUCUCAUCUUCUGAGUCAUCUCUCCAGUCUCUAUAACUUUUCACUUUGUCUUACUGUUAAUGGAAAUUAAGCAUCUUUUUAAGGUUGAUUUUAAAAUAAUGUUUCAUAUAUUAAUUCAGACUUAAGCAAUGAAAUGACAGAGACUUUGCUUAAUUUUAUUUUGUUUUGUCCUGUGUUGUGUUAUAAUUAAAGUAAACUAAAACUUAUAGUAAAAUAAACUUGUGCUCUACACAAACAUGACUUCUUACUAAAAUCAUUUGUAAUGAAUUUGACAAGUAUUAUUUAUACCACCUAAAAUGACAUGCACACUAUAUCCUGAAUAUAUCCAUCAUGCUAUCAGGGACUAUCAUUCCCACUCAUGGUCUGCCUGCUUUAAAUGUCAUCAUACCUGCACUAAGAAGAGAAUGAGUUCGUUUUUAUUGCUUAUACUAUCUUACUUAGACAUUAUUCUGUAGAGAUUUGUAUAGUGUUUGUAUUUGUCAGGUUAGUUCCAAUGUCUAGUUUCUCUUUUGAUAGGAUAAUGCCAAGUUUCUGUGUUCUCUUUUUUCCACUUAGAUUUCUACCUAUUUACUUACUUUGCAUAACAUCUUCAGUUUUUAUCUGAUCUGAACCUAGUUUAUUAUUAUUAUUAUUAUUAUUUUUCCGGAGCUGGGGACCUAACCCAGGGCCUUGUGCUUGCUAGGCAAGUGCUCUACCACUGAGCCAAAUCCCAACCCCCUAGUUUAUUAUUAUUAAAUUAAAAUAUUAUUAUUUAUUUAUUAAAUUACUAGAAUAAACAUGUUUGGGAAUUGUGCUCAUGUAUCCCGAAAAACUACAUAGAACAUAGUUUUUUUGGGUUUGAAAGAAAUUUAUAAAAUUCUUGAAAUCUGGAAUAUAUCUUAUAUAUUGAGACAUCAUAAAAGAAAUGGCAAUGAGUAGUACUCUUUGAUGUUUUUCCUUUAAAUAUUCUUUUCUCAUACAUUGUAUCCCCAAUCACAGUUUCCCCUCCCUGCCCUCCUUGCACUUUCCCCCAGCAUACCUUUCCUCUCCUCUAAAUUCACUCUUCCCUUUGUUUCCCUUUGGAAAGGAUCAGACCUUCUCUUCACAGCAGUGGAAACCCUAAGUAAGUACCCCUAAAUGGUCAUGUGAGGUAAUGGCCGUUAGCUAUCCAUUUAAAACCCCAAACCCCUGUCAUUCCCAUUAGACACUGACAGGUCUACAUUUGUUACCUCUAGCUCCCAGAACUAGAGGAAAUUAAUUUCUGUCAUUUAAUAAAUCCAGGAGGUAUUUGGUUAUACCAUUCAAGACAAGGCAGGCUGUGUAAUUUUCCUUAUGUCCACUCUAUUCCUACAACUGACUUAUUAAUGAAGUCACUUAAUGACUCUCAAUGCUUUUGCUUCAGGAGGCCCAUGUGAGGAGUAGGACUGGUUUGGCUUUUUAACAUAUGCCUUUCAGUGUUUCUGUCACUGUUCUCCACAAGAAAAUAGAUUGGGUAAAUCUUUGGUAGACAAGAUAUUGAGAGACUGAGCUCUCAUUUGGAGGUGAGACCAUACUGAAGAUACAAUCUCAGGCAGAAAUGUAUCUCAGAAAGAAUAUUGCACAGUGGCUACUAGGAAAAGACUUUUACAGCAAUAUAUUGCCUUGGAAGUUUAUUAGCAGUCUUCCCACUGCCACUAAAUCAACAGCAUCCAAGGUGUAGCAUGCUCUACCACACGCCCGCAUCUUCAUUUGCUGCUUUGUCUCCUCAACCCUCAUAUAAGACCUGCUAUUUGUAAAUAAAUACAGAAUUGUUAACAGUUCCCAAAUACGGAGACUUAAACCUGGGGCAACUAAGAAAAUAUUGCCAAUCUACUUUAUUGUCUGGGAAAUCUCCCAUCAAAUGUCUGUCCAGGAGAAAAAUUUAAAUUUUAAGUCAAUGGUGCUGGAUUUGGAGACUUUGUCUGAAUUUAACCUUAAGUACCAACCAUCUAAAAUUGUCUGCACUUGCGCGCGUACACACACACACACACACACACACACACACACACACACACACACACAGUUUUUGAGUAAGGCUAAAAUAAUUCCUGAAGGAUAUGUGAGAAAUUUGGAACAUGCAAACAGAUUUCGUAAAGAUUCUUUUCACUCCUUGAGAAGGACUAACUUCUUCCCCCACCAAGGGGAGAGAAUGGGGGAACCCUUGUUCCAAUUCCUCAUUUUUAGAGUCUCAUUUGGACUCAAGCGGUUUCUCUGUGUCCUUCAAUGUACUAUGGUUAUUGCUUCCCCUCUUUUUUACCCUUUGAUACUAAAUAUUUCAAAGUUUACAUUAGUCAUUCAGUGCAGAGAAUUCUGCAGAGCAAAAAGCUCAGUAUUAAUCAAAUACAUUUCACACUCUGGGGCAAGAGGCUAAAUGACAGCUAUGCUGCUAACCAGAAACUUCUAGUCAGUGGUGAAAUAUUGAAUGAUUCAAGUAGAUAUACAUCAAAGCUAUUAUUAGAGCUAUUAUGCUCAAAAUAUAGUUAUUUAAUAUCAAAGAAUAUUCAAAUGCAUGCAGAACAGAAAAAUUUAUAAUGAUUUGACUUCUCUGGCUGAAAUAGUUGUUCAAAUUUAUAACAUCUUUUUAAACUUGCCAUAUUUUGCUGACUUAAUACCUUUGGAUUAUAAAGUUGAGCUAACACAUAUUACUAUAAAAUAUAGUUAAUGCAUGCACAGAUUUAAAAUGGGUUAGCAGAACUGAAUAUAUCUUGACUAUUAUCCAAUUCAGAUACAUAAUCACUUGGGGGUAAUGCAUGCCUAGAAAUAGAGAUAUGUUAGGGGUGGAGUAAAGCAAGCCACUUCCAUUAUCCAAACAAAGAAAUUUUAUUUCCUAUAGCAGAAAUGUUCAGUACCUAUCAGAAACCAUUUUCCAUCCCUUUAUUAAGAAAAUAAUGAUUUUGUUGGGGUUAGGAGGGUACCUCACUAAGAUACUCUAUCUCUCCUCUCCUGCCGGCAGCAGUAGCUAAUGAGACAUAAGCAGAGUUCUGGGGCAAACUUCUGAUAGAGCUCUUAAAGGGGACUGCGUUAUCAGGGAGAAUGCCCCAUUUUACCUGUCAAUCUCCAUUUCUCUCCUUAUUUUGAACAUGAAAGUAAUGACUGAGCAGGCCCUGUCUCAUAAAAUUGAGGCAUUUUUGAAAAAUCGAAGCCACAUACUAACGAUGGGUAUAUAGAAAAAAAUAGGGAAGCUAGCUUGUAGGACAUGGGACAUGGUUUAGUCUAGAGCUGGGGCAACUGAGGUAGCCAUGUCUCCCCAAAUCUGAAUAUGCUGUCCAGCUUCAUCACAUACAUACAAAGCAAGUAAAAGCAAACACAGACAAGAUGAAGAUUCAUCACAUGUAUGAAAAAAGCAGAAGAGUCAGGUUUUGAUCAUAAAACUAGAUUCAAUUUCUACCCAGGUUACUGCCCCUGCAGAGGAAAGAACGGAGGUUAAGCUACAAUUAUCUUCAUUGAGAGUGUGUCUCUUUCAAAUAGGACAAUGAUGAAAAGGUCUCUUAGGCCAAAUAUUAACUACUACAAGACUUGAAAAGGCAGAUGACCAGUGGCAGAAUGAGUAAUAAAAAUUCUUAGAGGAGAAAAAGGUAAGAGAAGACAGAGAUCAGCUUUGGAGACUGAAUUUGAAAGAAAAAUGAAACUCAGAAGAAGUUUGGGAUUCUGAAGAAAAUACUCAGUUCUUUCUUUUUUUCUUUUAUUGGAUAUUUUUUAUUUACAUUUCAAAUAUUAUCCCCUUUUCUGGUUUCCUAUUCAUUAACCCCCUAACCCAUUCCCUCUCAGCCUUCUUCUAUGAGAGAGUUCCCUCACACAUCGACCCACCCCUUCCCACCUCCCCACCCUGGCAUUCCUGUACACUGGGGCAUUGAGCUUUGGCAGGAACAAGGGCUUUCACAUCCUCUGCUACAUAUGCAUGUGGAGCCAUGGGUCUGUCUAUGUGAACUCUUUAGAUGGUGGUUUAGUCCCUGGGAACUCUUGUUGGUUGGUAUAGUUCUUCUUAUGGGGUUUCAAACCCUUUUAGCUUCUUCAAUCCUUUCUCUAAUUCCUUCAUUGGGGACCCCAUUCUCACUUCAAUGGUUGGAUGCAAGCAUCCGCCUCUGUAUUUGUCAUUCUCUGGCAGAGCCUCUCAGGAAACAGCUAUUUCAGGCUCCUGUCAUCAUGCACUUCUUGGGAUCAGUAAUGUUGUCAGGGUUUGAUGGCUGUAUAUGGGCUGAAUCCCCAGGUGGGGCAGUCUCUAGAUGGCAUUUCCUUCAGUCUCUGCUCCAAAUUUUGUCUCUGUAUUUCCUCCUGUGAAUAUUUCUGUUCCGCCUUUGAAGAAGGACUAAACCAUCUACACUUUGGUUGUCUUUCUUCUUAAGCUUCAUGUGGUCUGUGGAGUGUAUCUUUGGUAAUCCAAACUUUUAGGCUAAUAUCCACUUCUCAGUGAGUGCAUACCCUGUGUGGUUUUUUGUGAUUGGGUUACUUCACUCAGGAUGGUAUUUUCUAGUUCCAUCCAUUUGCCUAUGAAUUUCAUGGGCUAUAAGAAUGGAUUGAUUUGUAUUCUUCUACAUGCUGACCACCAGUUGAAUAAGCACCAUUUGUUGAAAAUGCUUUCUUUUUUCCAUUGGAUGGUUUUAGCUCCUUUGUCAAAGAUCAAGUGACCAUUGGUGUGUGGGUUGGUUUCUAGGUCUUCAAUUCUAUUCCAUUGAUCUACCUGCCUCUCUCUGUACAAAUACCAUACAGUUUUUUUUUUAAAAUCAUGAUUGCUCUGUAAUACAGAGGUCUGGGAUUGUGAUUCCCCCAGAAGUUCUUUUAUUGUUGAGGAUAGUUUUAGCUAUCCUGGGUUUUUGUUAUUCCAAAUGAAUUUACAAAUUGCUUUUCCAAUUCUAUGAAGAAUUGAGUUGGAACUUUGAUAAGAAUUGCAUUGAAUUUGUAGAUUUCUUUUGGCAAGGUAGACAUUUUUACAAUAUUAAUUCUGCCAACUCAAGAGCAUUGGAGAUCUGUCUUCUGAAAUCUUCUUCAAUUCCUUUCUUCAGAGACCUGAAGUUCUUGUCAUACAUAUCUUUCACUAGCUUGUUUAGAGUCACACUGAGGUAUCUUAUAUUAUGUGAUUAGUAUAAAGGGUGUCAUUUCCCGAAUUUCUUUCUCAGCCUGUUUAUCCUUUGAAUAGAGAAAGGCUAAUGAAUUUUUUUAUUAAUUUUUUUUCAUCUGAGAGUUCAAGUCUAGUCUGGGAAAUGAAAGGUGAUGCCCAUUUCCAAAAAAACAAACCAAAACCAACGAGACACUUUUUCAUAACCUUUCAAAAUGCAGUGAUCUAGUACAGUUAGAUAAUAUAUAAAACACAUACAUGAGGGAAAUCACAAGAAUUUGAAAACCUAACUGACCAAAAGAGAAGAAAGGAAAGGGUAGAAGAGAAGAGAAAGAAAGCGAAAGCAAGAAGAGGAGGGAAAGAAGAAGAAGGAGGAAGAAAAGAAUCGAGGGUGGGAGGGAAGAAAUGUUACAUUCAGGGGAACCUUAAAGAAAAAUAUUCAAAAUUAUGUUUAAGAAAUAAAUAUUUAGAAUGUGACAUUGAAGACAUGCAGAAAACUAGCAAUACAAACAAGAGUAACUUGGAAUAACUUUAUAUAAUGAUUGCAAAAGGAACCAAUGUAUAAUUAAGAAUAUGAUAACAAGGAAUAUCUGGCCACCCAAUGGUUUGGAGAAAACCACAGCAGGAGCCAACUGGUGUUUAAAACUGUAAUUGAGGACAACAAAAGAGUAAAUGCAGAGGGGCCAUAGCGUCAUCCUGAGAUAGGCCUCAGGGUGUUGCGCAACCUGAAAACUGAUCAGUGAAAGCUAACUUUACCAACUCCACCAAUCUCUGCUUUUCUGGAGCAGUCACUGAAAAGCAUUGUUUGUUGUUUUGUUUAAUAAAAUUGGAAAUCUAACAAAAGUGUUUCAGUUGUGUCAUUGCUAAUUUUGUCAUAGAUUUGCUACUUUAAAUCUUUUGAGCUUUGCUUGUUUUAUCUCUAGUUUUACUUCCCCAUGUGACCUAUUUUGAGUUGGAUUAUGUCUGUUGGUAAGAUUUUCUUUAAAGUCAUAAUCUUCACCUUGGCUCUGUAUCCUAGCUCAGUCCACAGCUCUAGAAGAACCCUGUUCUAACUGAGGCCAAACCAGUAUUACAGAUACCAGGUAAGACACUGCCCAUUUUAAUGGAAGUGCUAACACUCCUUAGAGCCUACCCAGCUGUCUUCAAUAGCACCAUUUCCCUCAGUUCCAUAUUUCUGACUAGAAUUUUAGCAAAAGUUUCCAGCUCUUCCAGAGGCCAAACUGGUACCUGGAAUUCCUGAGACAAUGCUAGUUUCCAGAAUCCCAGAACCCAAAAGGCAAUGUGAACACCUUACACUUCAGUGAGGAUACCCUACUGGACCUGAAGACACACUGGUUACCAGAAACUCAAGCCAUUCAUGCCAUAAGACAAGAGAGGAAACAGAAACCAAGGGGGAGAAAUCCAUCCAAAACGAUGAACUCAGAAAUCAGCAUGUGUCUUAGGGUUUUAAUGCUUUGACCACCAUGACCAAGGCAACUCUUAUAAGAACAACAUUUAAUUGGGGCUGGCUAACAGUUUUAGAGGUUCAGUCCAUUAUCAUCAAGGUUGGAGUGUGGCAGUAUCUAAGUAGGCAUGGUACAGGAGGAUCUGAGAAUUCUACAUCUUCAUCUGAAGGCAGCUAAGAGAAGAUUGACUUGUACGUGAUUAGGAGGAUGGUUUCAUUGUCCACCCCAACAAUGACCCACUUCCUCCAACAAGCCCACAUCUCUUCCAACAAGGCCAUAUCUCCUAAUAAUGCCACUGCCAUUGUCAAGCAUAUUCAAAUCAUGAUAUUCCCCUCCCUGGAUACUAUAAAUACAUGAGUCUAUGGGGCCAUACUUAUCCAUAGCACAAUGCAAAAUAUAUUUAAUCCAAAUUUUAAAAUAAUCCUCAUAGUCUAUAACUCAGCAAUGUUAACAAUCCAAAGUUAAAAGUCUCUUCUGAGAUUCGUUCAAGCACUUAACUGUAAUCCCCAAAGCAAGAGAAGAAACCAGCUAGGCUAACUCCAAACUCUGCAUCUCCAUGUCGGAUAUCAAAGUGGUCUUCAGAUCUCGAACUCACUUUUCAUUUUUGAUGGCUGCCACAAACUUCCUUCUCUUAGGAUGGUUCCACUCCUUGUACAGAUUUCCUCAAGGGUGUCCCAUUGCUCUGGCAUCUUUAACAUUUUGGGUUCUCCAGAAUACCUUGUUCCAAUGUCUAGGAUUCACAUAUGAACUUCUGGGCUUCUCUGAAGGACUUGCAUCACUUCUGCAGCGCUGCUCUCUUUAGCACCCUAGGCUCUGGGUGGCUCCACUCUUCUACUGCUGUUGUUCUUGGUAGUCUUCCCAUGGUACUGGCUUCUCUAAUAUGCUGAGGUCUUCUGCUGCAACUAAGUUUUAGAAAUAACCUCCCAUAGGCUCUUUUCAUGGUGCCAAAUCUCAACUUCUUUGCAUAAUCUCUUCUGUCCUGGGAUGCAUGUUCAUCAAUGGCCUUCCCUCAUCUCACACAGUGUCAGGCCUCAGCUAUGCUCUAUGACCCCUUUAGGCCUUCGAAACUAGCACCACCAGGAUGAUUCUUACACAUUACCAUGUCCAGCUGCUAUCCCUGGAGUAUUACUUCUUUGCGAUUUCUGAAAACACUUCAAGGCAGAAAUAAAGAAAUUAAAGACUUCUUAGAAUAUGUGUGCAUUAAUGAAAAUUAAUGGAUAAUAUACAAAACUUCUGAGAAAUCAUGAAAGCAGCACUAAAAGGAAAGAAAAUUCAUAGCACUAUGAGCCUUCAUAAAGAAAUUAGAGAGAGCUCACAAUAGCAACAUAACAGCACACCUGAAAGUUCAGAAACUGAAAGUGAGGCAUAACAACAGACACAGGAAGUCCAAAAAUAUCACUAGGUCAUACUUCCAAAGCCCCUCCUCCACAAAAUGAGAAAAUCCGAAAGAAAUGGACAAUGUUUUUGAUUAAAUACCAGUUAUCAAAGUUAAAUCAAUGUUAGAUAAACAAUUCAAAUAGACUUAUAACUGCUAAGGAAAUAGAAGCAGUCAUUAAAAUAUCUCAACCAAAGAAAGACCAGAGCCAGAUGGUUUUACUGCUAAAUUCUCACAGACUUUCAAAGAAGAGAUCAUAUCAUUAUUCCCCAAAGCAGAAACAAGGCACAUUGCCAUAUUCACAAGGCCACAUUCUCCCUGAUACACCAAGUACACAAAGACUCAACAAAGAAAAUUACAGACCAAUUUCCUCCAUGAUCAAUGAUACAAAAAUACUCACUAAAACACACACAAAGCAAAUUCAAGUAUAUAUACAUCAAAAAGAUCAUCCACCAUGAUCAAGUAGGCUUCAUUCCCAGUGAUGCAGGAUGGUUCAAUAUAUAGAAAUUUGUCUACCAUAUAAACAAACAGAAAGAAAAAAAAACAUGAUCAUCUCAUUAGAUAUUGAAAUAUUCUUUGAAAAAAUCCAACACCUUCACAUGGUAAAAGUUUUGGAGAGAUCAGGGAUAUAAGGGACGAACCUUAACAUAAUAAAUACAAUAUACAGAAACCAAUAGCUAGGAUUAAGUUAAAUGGAUAGAAUUGCAAAACAAUUCCACUAAAAUCAGGUUGUCCAGUCUCUCCAUAACUAUGCAAUAUUGUACUAGAAGAUCUAGUUACAGCAAACAAACAAAGGAGAUCAGGGGGAUGUAAAUUGGAAAAGAAUAAGUUAGAGUAAUGUUAUUUGCAAAUGAUAUGAUAGUAUACAUUGACCAAAUAUUCUACCAGGGAACUCCUACAGCUGGUAAACACUUUUAGUAAUGUGGAUGGAUACAAGAUUAGCAGCAACAUCAACAACAACAAAAAAAAUCAGUAGCCCUACUAUAUACGAAAGUUAAAUGGACUCAGAGAAAUAAUAUCUUUCACAAUAGUCACAAAUAAUAUAAAAUAUCUUGGUGUAACCCUAAGCAAGCAAGUGAAUGACCUGUAUAACAAGAACUUCAAUUCUUUGAAGAAACAUAUUGAAGAAGAUAUUAGAAGACAGAAAGAUCUUACAUGCUAAUGGAUCAGUAGGAUUAACAGUGAAAAUGGCCAUCUUACCAAAAUAAUCUACAGACUCAGUAAAAUCUUUAUUAAACUCCAACACAUUUCUCUACAGACCUUGAGGAAACAAUAUUCAACUUCAUAUGGAAAAGCACAGCAAAAUAAAAUAAACAAACAAAACAAAACAAAACAAAACAAAACAGAAAAACAAGAUAGCUGAAACAAACCUGUACCAUAAAAGAACUUAUGGAGAUCUUACAAUCCCUGAUUUCAAGCUCUGCUACACAGCUAUAGUAUAAAAAAAAAAUCACAUGAUAUUUGAAUAAAAGUAUACUCAAAUGGCUGAUAAAUAGAAUUAAAUUGAAGACGCAGAUGUAAAUCUACACACAUAUGAGCACCUGAGUUUUGAUAAAAAGUCAAAAUUAUACAAUGGGGAAGAAAAGUAAGUAUUUGCAGAUAAAAUGAAAGAAUACGCAAGUGGCCCUAAGAACUUGGGAACUCCUAAUGGUGAAAAUCACCUUCGGCUAAGUAGCAAAAUACAAAAUUAAGUAAAAAAAAUUCUAGCCCUCAUAUAUACAAAUGGCAAACAGAUUGAGAAAAAAAUUAAGGAGACAAUACCUUUCAUAGUAACCUAAAUAAUAUAAAAUACCUUGGGGGGGUAAUUGAAACCAAACAGUUAUAUACAUAUAGUAAAAGUUUCAAGUUUUUGAAGAAAAAAAUUGAAGAAAAUAUUAGAAGAUGGAAAGAUCUCCCAGUAACAUAGUAAAAAUGGCCAACCUACUAAAAACGACCUACAAAAGAAAUUCAAUUGUGAUCAAAAUUCCACUGCAAUAUUUUUCCUGGACCUGAAAGUAGGAAAAUGCAAGAUCCCAGGAGAGCUAAAACAAUCCCGGGCAGAAAAAAGAACAAAACAACAGCAGCAGCAGCAACAUCAACAAACUGCUGGAUAUAUUGCCAUCCCUGAUUUUAAGUUGUAUCAUAAUGCUAUAAUAAUAAAACCUCACAUGACCUAUGAUUAGACCUAUGAUCAAUGGAAUUGAAUUUAAGACCCAGACUUCACUCUAAACACCUAUGGACAUGCGAUUUUAAUAAGGAUGCCAGAGAUACAUGGUGGAAAAAAGAGAGUAUCUUCAGCAAAUGGUGCUGGUCAUACCGGAUUGCUGCAUGUUAAGGAAUCCAAAUAGAUUCAUACCUAACAUCCUUCACAAAGCUUAAGUCCUAAUGUUAAGACCACAGAAUACCCAGAUGCAAUGAAUCUGGUAAAAGAGAAAGUUGAGAAUAGCAAUGACUGAUUAGCACAAAAAAGACUUUGAGAUCAGAACACCAAUGGGGCAGACACCAAGGCCAAUAAAAUAAAUGGGACCUCAUGAAACUGAAAGUCUUCUCUAAGGCAGAAAACUGUGUAAUUUGGACAAGAUAGUAGCCUAUUAAGUGGGGAAAAAAUGAACAAUUCCAUGUCUGAUAGAAGACUAAUAUCUAGAAUAUCUAGUUAUCAAGAAACUAGAUAAUAAAAAACCAAAUAACAUAAUUUAAAAAUGGAAUAUGGAUUUAAUCAGACUUUUUUCCAAAAAGGAAAAGGAGGGAGAUGGAUCUGGGGAGAGGCAUGAUGAAGAGGGUCUGGCAGGAGCACAAGGAGGGAAAACUCUGAAUAGUAUGAUUUGGAUGAGAAAGAAUUAUGAAUGGACAGAUGGUAACAGUGAAGAGACAGUUUGAACUCACAGCACAUUUCCACCUUGUAAAGAAUUCCAGGAAUAUCUACUUGAGCUUCAAGAGCUGGUUGACUCUCCAUUUGUGAUGCUGAAAGGACAAAUUAUAUUUUAUCCAAAUUUUAAUGUAUAAUUAAAAUAUAUUCUAAUACCAAGAUCAAAUACAUUUUAAAAACAUGUGGAAACAUACAUUAUUUACCUAAUUCUUCUGUCAUACUGUUGGUGUUCAACCUUCUCAUUUGUAGAAAUGUUAAUAUUUCUCUUCUAUAUUAAUAUUUGAAAGAGCUUUUCAGUUGGAAAUGGUGGCUCACCCAUUUAACCUUAGCACUUGGGAAGCUGAGGUUGAGGAAUUAAGAGUUCAAGGAUAGCUUUUGCUACAUAGCAUAAUUUUGCCUGAAAGUCCUACACGCAGACUAUAAAGCUAAAUAAAAAAUAAACACCAUAUAAAAUCAAUUAAUAUAAUUAUAUGUCAUAUAGUACAUAAUAUAUAUCAACUAAUAUUAAAGUUAAAUAAAAUGUAUAUUAGUUUUCUACAUAUGCUUAGUAAAAAGUUACUGCUAUGUGGUUCUAAAGGUUGUGAAUCUAAUGUCAAUGGCCCAGCCUUGGUUUCUCUGAGGACUGCGAAAGGAAUCUGUCAGCAUUUUCUUCCUCCUGGAGUUUAUUGCUGGCAGUCUCAUUCACUUGUACCAUUACAAGCUGUGUGUUCAUGUUUUCGUUACAGGUUCCCUGUGAGUGUAUCUAUCUGUGAAUUUCCUCUUUACGUAAGAAUACGAGACCUUGAAUUCUUACAGGUGUCUCUUUUCUUGUUUCAUGGUGGUGUGAAGAAAAUUCUCAGCAAAGUUGAAAUUAAUUACAUUUUUAUUAGCUUGCAGCCAUUAUUUUGUACUUUGGGUCUCUAUAUCUCAUUGAGGUUAUUACUGCAUGCUGUUUUCAUUUUAGAUAACAUUUUUCCACCAGCCUCAAGUAGCCAGAUUUUACUUUCUGUGACUGUAAUUCUUUCAAAUCCAUGUGUGUUUUAAUUACCUUUUCUGGUUAUGGUGAUCAAAUGCAUUUCAAAAAUCAACUGAAGACAAAAGUGGUUAUUUUGACUUGCAGUUUGGAGGGAUACAGUCCAUUUUGUAAGGGGUUGCAACAUGGCAAGAGAACAAUGGAUGAUAUCUUAGUUUGGGUUUUCUUGUUGUGACCAGACACCAUGAGCAAGGCAACUCUUAUUAAAGGAAAACACUUAAUUGGGGUUGGCUUCUAGAGGCUUAGUCCAUAAUCAUCAUGGUAGAAAGCAUGGCAUUGUGUGUAGUCAGACUUGGUGCUGUAGGAGACAAGAGCUCUACGUCUUCAUCAGUAGGGAGCAAAGAGGAGACUUAACUUCCAGACUUGGUGGAUCUUGAGCAUAUGACAUGUCAAACUGUCCCCAUAGGAACACAUUUCCUCCAACAGGGCCACAACUACUGCAACAAGGCCACACCUCCUAAUAGUGGCGUUUCUUAUGGGCCAAACAUUCAAACAAAAUAUUCAAAAUAGUCUAUGGGGGCCAUAUCUAUUUAAACCACCAGGGAUGGAUUGAAUUCGAAGUCAGGAAGGAAUGAGUGGACAGGACAUUGGGCAGGACGAUAACAUUCCAAAGAUUUGCUCUGCUCUAGUUAGGAUCCAACUGUGCAAGGUUGUCAACUUUAUAACCCUUAAAGGAAAAACCAUCCAGAGACUUCUCCACAUUGGGAACCAAACCAUCUGCAAACACCCAAACCGGACACUAUUGCUGAUGCCAAGAAGCACUGGCUGAGAGGAGCCUGAUAGAGCUGUCCCACGAGAGGCUUUGCUAGAUCCUGACAAAUACAGAUGUGGAUGCUUGCAAACAACCAUAGGACUGAGCACAGGGACCCCAGUGGAGGAAUUAGGGGACGGUCUGAAGGAGCUGAAGGGGUUUGCAACCCCAUGGGAAAAACAACAGUGUCAAUCAACUAGAACCCCCAAAGCUCCCACAAAAUAAACCAAACCAAGCAAAGAGUACACAUGGAGGAACCCAUGGCUCCAGCUGCAUAUAUAGCCAAGGAUUACCUUAUCUGGCAUCAAUGGUUGGGGAGUUCCUUGGUCCUGUAGAGGCUUGAGGACCCAGCAUAGGGGAAUGCUAGGGAACUGAGGUUGGAGAGGGUGGGUGUGUGGGGGAGCACCCUCAUAGAAGCAGAGAGGGAGGGAUGGGGAUUUGUGGAGGGGAAACAGAGAAGGAGGAUAAAAUUUGAAAUGUAAAUAAAUAAAAUAACCAAUAAAAAAACUGUUCAAGAAGGUGAGCCUACAGCAGACAUUUUAUAUUCAAACCAACACAAGAUGACUGAUCUCACAAGACACAUGUUUUUGUAUCUGACCCAUUUCCCUUGGCACAUCACUCAUCCUUACUCAUUUUUCCACAAAUGGCAGACUUCCAUUCAUAGUUAUAUAAUAUUCCAUCGUGUGAACUGUAUUUCAAUCCAUUUAUUCAGUGAAGUUGAUUCCAGAUAGAAGCUAUUAUAUGGGGACAUAUACAAUGGGGAUAUAAUGUGUGUGUUUGUAUGUAUGUAUGUGCAUACAUGUAUACGUAUGUAUAUGCAUAUAUGUAUACAUAUAUAGAUAUAUAUGUAGCUAUAGAUAUCUCCUCUCUUAUCACAUCUACAUCUCUCAGACAAUGUACAUAUAUAUGUCUUUUAGGACCCUAUUACAAGACAAAGUUACAUUUUGAGAUAGUGGACAUAUGAAUGUUGUGGGUUAUAAUUAAAUUUCUAACUAUAAUUGUAUUUGUAUGGUGGAGUAAUCAGCAGUUUCACUAACAGGUUUUCAAAUAUAUAGUCUGAACCUUAUUUUGUAUUAAAGAUGCAAAACCUAAAAGUAAGGAAUACAAAAUCUCCAGAGAGAAAUCAGGACUUUGGAAUGUCCUGCCUUAUGGGUGUGAAUCUCCCUUUGUUCUCUUCACUGACAACUUUACAUUCCUUGUGGCAAGAUAGAGGUUUACCCACUUGGACAUACAAUUCUUUUUACACCAAUUCUAAUUACCAAAAAGACCAUGUCUUUGUGUGUUGGACUGCAACUCCUGGGUGUCAGCAGUGUGUGAUUUUUGUUGGUGCCUCAAUCUAAUGUUACAGAUCGUAGAUGUUAAUAAUGAUAUAUUCAAAAUUAUUCGUGAUGAACAUUACAGUGAGUGUCAAAUGAACUGGGUCUAUGGAAAGGAUACCACUAUGCGGAGCUACCAAUGUUCCUAAUACCACAUGUCUUUCAUUUAGAAAAACAACCUUUAUUCGCACCGUGUCUUUUAUUUCAAUGAUCGUACAGAGUUUAAGUAGAUGUGUAGCAACUUCAGCGUCUUCCACUCUAUCACACCCCAGGGUGAGAUUCCACAUCUGUCACACAAUUCACAGCCCAGCACCAGAACAAUGCUGGUACCCAGGAGGGAUAUCAAGUCAGACUGAAAACAGAACAGCUCAGAUUUAGGAGAGCCAAAUAUAAUUACCCCAAGAUAAAUUUGACCAAGAAGUAGAAUUAGGCUGUUUUGUCUAGAAAUCUAUUGACUCUUUUGGGACAACAGCAAAAAAAAUCACCCUUAGGCAGUUAAUGGAGUCCAAUCAAAGUCACAGGCCACAUAAUUACACAGAAGGAAUAUUUUGGGAGCUGCAGGUCAUACAGGAAGUUUGGGUUUGUGGAAUAAUUUUCAAAGACAUUGGAAUGUGUCAACAGUCACAUUGCAGAAGAAGAAAAUGUGAAAUACGCACAAUAUAAUAAAAACAAAAUAAAUUUAACAAUACAGGUAUCAUCGGCUGAUUGUAGUAACUGGAAUUAGCUGAGAAAUGCAAGCUGAAGUCAUUUCAUACAUCCUUCUCAGAUGUUUUUCAAAUUUUUUGAUAAUUUUUUGUGGUAUUUCACCACAGAGAACUCUUCGCUUUAAGGUUUCAUUUUAAAAUGAAACUAGUCUCCCUGUUUUCACGAAAAUGACGAAGCAGGGAGAUGUGCCUCCUUAUUUCAACUUUAUUUUGUGGGUUUUAUCACUUUGAUGCAGUUCCCACCUUUCAAUUUAAGGAAGUAGAUUGAGCACAAGUUUUGAAGUUUUCUGAUUUUCUUUCAAAAUGUCAUUAGACAUUUUUUUUUUUAAAGCUGACAGGCCUAGCUUUUUUUCUCAUAGAUGGAGUUACUAGGUGAAUUCUCAUAUGGUGAUUUAAAUUUUGAUUUCUUAUUUAUUUUUUUUAUUUUUUAUUUUGCCAACCACUUUUGUAAAAGUACGGUAGAAAGCUAUUUAAAUCUUUUGUUGGGAUUUUAUGGCUUGUUAUUUUCACCACCACAGUGAUAUUUCAAGAAUAUACAUUUUUAAAUUAUCUGACGGAUACUUUUAAAAAUUUUCCUUACAGUCCUUUACUUUUCCAAACUAAACAAAUGUUAAGUUGUAUUUUCACAAGAAGUGCAUAAAUAUAUGAAAAGGAACUGUUUAACUGUAUGAUGGCUAGAAGCCUCUCUUUUCCAAACAUAAUUAAAUGUGGGUUAAUCUGAAGGAAAAAUAAAUGGUCUAAGGGGCAUUGAGUAAAUUUGAGAACUGCAAAAUUAUGAUGAGGUAUUGGGUUAGUACUUGAGAAGACCUAGUGCUGACCUUUCCUGAUUAACCGGAUUUUAGCGUUUAACUACAUAUCAACACGUCCCCAAGUUUUCACAAUAAUGAAUAGAGUAUAUAUUUUUAUACAUGCUGGCUUAUUGAGAAGCAUAUCAAAUCUUAAUGGAACUGGAAUCCCAAGCCUGUGUAUCUUUGGUAUUGUAGUCCAUUUCUUCACCUUAGCUAAUAGGCUUUUCAAGAAGGUUCCCUGUGAUGCCUGCAUUCUCUUACUUUCAUUCUGAGCAAGUUGUCUGAAAACAGGCCACUCGGUGCAACUCCUUAGACCUCGUACUUCCCUGUGCUAGUCCACGGGCCAUUAUUUCCUUGCCAGGUUCUCAGCAGUGUGGAACCAUUCCAACUAGUUUCACUAGCUUUAUUCUAUCUACCAGGAAUGACAUAAUAAAAAUUCCUCUUGAUUUCAUUAACAAGAUGCACUUUUCUUCCAGGUAGCACACACACACACACACUAGGAACUUUAAAUUUAUUCUAUAAUGACAGAUUACUAGUUAGUUGCUUAGGAUUGGGAUUGAUUGGCUGAGAAGUAUGAACAGAGAGGGAUAAAAAGUUCACUUCCAAAGAGAUCAGAAAAACAUUUUGAAGUGAUGAGCAUAUUUAAUAUCUCGGGUUUAGUGAUAGCUUCAUAAAGUUACACAUAAAAAAUUAUUUAAAUAUGUCAUUAUUGUUUGUUAAUUAUUAUUCAGUAAAAUUGUAUAUAAACCAGUAUUGGUACAGGGAAGAAAACAGAUUUGUUUUAAAGAUUUUAUUCAUUCUAAUUCUUUAUGUCUAUGUGUCUCCGAGUGAGGAUGCUGGCAAAGUUCAGAGGCAUCGGAUUUUCCUGAAGCUGGAGUUAAAGGAGGUUGUGAACUAUCAGGUGUAGGUCUUAUGAAACAAUCUUCAAUCCUCUAGAUGAGCAAUAUAUACUCUGAAAUGUUGAAUACCUUUGGCAAAGACAACCUGAGGAAGAAAGGGUUCCCAUUGGUUUACAGCUUAAUGAUGGAAAGUCAAGAAAAUAGGAUCAUAAAGCGCUGGUCACAUCACAUCUGCAGUUGAAAAAGAUAUUGCAUUCUACAGCUCUGCAUGUUUUCUCCAUUUUAAACAGUCCAGAAUCCUGGCCCACGAAAUGGUCCCUUCAACUUUGGGCGUGGGUCUUCUCAUGUAAAUUAACUAAGCCUUAGUCCCUCAUAGAUAUGCUCAGAAGCUCAGUACUCCUUCACAGACGAUUUAGUUUCUUCAGAUUCAUUCAUGCUGCUAAUGAUUACCAACUACUUGCAGCGACCCCAUGUUACUUCAAAUGGCUCUUAAGUGUUCUUGUGAGUGGGUCAAAAACUCUGGAAACGUAACCAAAGGCUUAUGUUGAAGAUAAUAUUGCUUUAUGACAUAUGAGUGAGCAUGCACACGCUCACACACACACACACACAGACACUCAUGCACAUGCAUUCAUACACAUAUGUACAAAAAUACACUCAAGAAUGCAUUUGCAGACACAGAUACACACUCAAGUAGGCAUGCAUGUGUGUGUAACACACAUGUCCACAUGUAUACGUGAGUGCACACACAGGUACACACACACACACACACACACACACACACACACACACACACACACACACACAAAGUACAUACCAGUUUAAAUAGUUUGGGAAUCUGCCUGUUCUCCAGCAAAUGACCCAGAUGACAGCAGGCUGUACAGGUGAAUCCACUGACUCUAACUCAGCCUCAGAUCUGACCUUCUUUCCUAGUAAACCACCCUUUUGAUAUUUAAGAUUAUAUCAUCUUUGAAUUAAAAUUAAUUAAUUAGUUAAUUAAUUUUUACACUCCAGAUUUUACUCCCCUCAGAGUUCCGCAUCCCAUACCUCCUCCCUGCCCUCCCCUCGCCCACACUUCUCCCUGUACCCCUGUCUCCACAAGGAUGUUCCCACCCCACCCACCCCGCCAGACCUCUAAGCUUCUGGGGCCUCCAGUCUCUUGAGGGUUAAAUGUAUCUUCUCUGACUGAACCCAGUCCUUUGCUAUACAUGUGUUGGGGGCCUCAUCUCAGCCAGUGUAUGCUGCCUGGUUGGUGAGACUAUACCAUCUUACUACAUUACAACAGGUUGUGUUCCCUAUAGCACAGAUCCCAAAUACAAGCCAGAUAUCUCACAUAGUUUUCAAGAAAAUAAAAUUGGCCUCAUCAUUUCCAGGAAUUGUUUUCUCAGGAGACAACUGUGAGGAUUUUCAAGAGUAGUUUCAAUUUCGAUCACUGUUUGAGGGUCUUGUCUCCUUGAAUAUUCAAAGAUUCUAAGAAAAGCUGAAUCAUUGAGUGUAUUGUCUCUCUAUUGAUGCAAGUGAAGGCAAAGUAAAUGCAUUAAAUCACCCAGGGAAAAAAAGAAGAAACAAACCCUCUAUUUGACACCUUACAGGGAAGGAAAUGUCAGCAUACACAGAUGUGGGCUCACAACAAAGACUGCGCACAGCGGGUCAAGGAGGAAAAAGAAAAGCGACAUCGUGAGAUUAAAAAAAAGAGGAACGUUUAUUAGAAUCAGCCAAUUAUUUCAAAGGUAGGAUGGAAAAUGGGCCGUGUAACAUGUUCUGCUCUCUGAGGCGUCUAGUGCCUAUUGCAGUCUGGUACUCAGAAGACAGUAAAUACGAUUUGCCGUGAUGGAUCCUUACCCUCUCUGAGUGACUGUGAAGAACCUUUCUGUAUUACGGUAACAAUUCUGUGGUGUCUCUGUAUUGAAAAGAAAUUAUGAGAGUCUCUAGCAAAGACCUCAGCCGAACUCCUGAGAACAGUGUAUGGGGCUGAGGAAUUUACAGAAUGGACACCAUGCAGUCACUACCGCUGCCUUUUAUCAGGCUGAGACUGCUUCUCCAACUCUUACAGGUUUAAUUUAUUUGAAGGAUAUACAUUUGGAGAAAGCAACGUGGGUCUGAGAUUGGGGCAGAGGGUGAAUACUUUCAGCUUUCCAAUCAGCUGAAGGAGUUGACCUACCUGUUGCCUAAUUCCAAAAGCAGACAGUGCACAGAAGGAAGUCCUAUGUCCUUAGGAAAUGUGAUUUUAAAAGAUUGAAAUCCCUGUCACUCUCUGGGAAAUAUUCCAUUCUGUAUAGCUGACUGUUAUUGUAAUGAAUUUCAGCUAAAUUGGGGAAGAGAGAAUAAGUAGUGUUACAGUUAAAAAAAAAACUAACAGAAAACAGAAUCAAGAUCAAUCUUCCUUGGUUUAGACUUAUCUUUCCAUCUUCUGGGAGUCUUUCUCUUGAUUUAUGACUUAUUUUCAGUUAAAGCUUUUCCAAGCAGUGGCAACCUGAUUGCUGAAUGAUUGACAGAGUUUAAACCUUUGCUAAGACAUCAGGCUCAAAACCUUCGAAGAUGGUGAUAGAUCCCAGGAAGGAGUUGUUACAGAGGAAUUUAAAAAUACAAGCCAAUAAGCCAUAUCAAAGUAAAAUGUAACUUCUAUCCAGUCUAAUGCAACAUUCUAACUCCAAUAAAUUGGGCUUACAUUUCUGAUAUAAA
This is a non-coding RNA of Rattus norvegicus (Norway rat), 22695 nucleotides long. NCBI's taxonomy places the organism in Eukaryota, Metazoa, Chordata, Mammalia, Rodentia, Muridae. The record is from RefSeq and is a predicted model, not a curated record.